This 360-nucleotide transfer RNA is filed under the name uncultured Microcystis sp. RNAcentral describes it as "partial 16S-23S ribosomal RNA intergenic spacer". The stretch from base 135 to 208 matches the Rfam family "tRNA". The record is from RNAcentral. Lineage: Bacteria; Bacillati; Cyanobacteriota; Cyanophyceae; Chroococcales; Microcystaceae.
AAAGGGAGACCUAAUUCAGGUAGGAGACGAAAAAAAGUAGUCCCUACCAAGAAUCAAUCCCAAAAGGUCGGAGCGAGGCAAAAUUGGCUUUCAAACUAGGUUCUGGGUUCACAUAAGACCUGAAUCAGGAACAAGGGCUAUUAGCUCAGGUGGUUAGAGCGCACCCCUGAUAAGGGUGAGGUCCCUGGUUCGAGUCCAGGAUGGCCCACCUGCACAGGUGGCAAAAACAAGAGAAGCGAGGAAUCAGCACCUUAUCUUACUUAUAUAGUAAGAGAGAAUGCUGGCUCUGAGUAAAGAGUCCAGAGGAACCUUGAAAACUGCAUAGAGCUAGGUGAAAAAGCCAAAAAAGAAGACCGCAAG